GUGCUGGUGGCUCACUGCAGGUGACAAAGCCUCGCUCCUGGCACUGGCAGGUGCCACUGGCAUCACGGCUCUGCUCUGCCUCCCCCCAUGGGACACCUGUGGCUAAACCUUGUCUUUCCAUUAUGCUGGUGAGCUAGAGCACUUUGAGACUGCAGCUUGUCAACCUUCCACAUAUCCAGAUACCUCCAGGUGCAGGAAUCACCAUGGCAGUGGCUUCUGCCUUCCUCUGGUGCACCUGCAUGCAGUGAGGGAAUUGAUUUGGCUUCGCUGCAGCUCUGCCACUUCCCACCAGUCCAGGCUCCCGGACCUCUGGUGACAGAAGAGCCUGAGAUUGCUGCCAGUUAAUGCAGAGAUUGCUGUGGGGAAAUAUUUCCAGAGUCACACCUCACUGUGCAAAGCGCAAUCCCAGCUCUAGCAAAACACAUGGAUAAAACUUUUUGUCAUUUUAUGCAUAGCUCCUGCUGUAAUAUGAGAUUGGAAAAUGAAACCAGCUUGAAGCCAGUGUGUAACUCUCUGAAUAUUCAGGAAGUAAAAUAAGCUUUCUA
Non-coding RNA from Cyanistes caeruleus (blue tit), 545 nucleotides. NCBI's taxonomy places the organism in Eukaryota, Metazoa, Chordata, Aves, Passeriformes, Paridae. The record is from RefSeq and is a predicted model, not a curated record.